Molecule: transfer RNA, 69 nt
Filed under: Sardinops sagax (South American pilchard)
Lineage: Eukaryota; Metazoa; Chordata; Actinopteri; Clupeiformes; Clupeidae
Also listed under: 1 other name
Description: tRNA-Phe
Rfam family: tRNA
About the family: Transfer RNA (tRNA) molecules are approximately 80 nucleotides in length. Their secondary structure includes four short double-helical elements and three loops (D, anti-codon, and T loops).
Source: RNAcentral
GCUAGUGUAGCUUAAAUCAAAGCAUAACACUGAAGAUGUUAAGAUGGGCCGUAAGAAGCCCCACGGGCA